UAAUUUGUAGAGGAUGCUUCGAGCAUGGUCUGGCCUAAGUUCCUUGGAACAGGACGUCAUAGAGGGUGAGAAUCCCGUAUGCGGCCAGGUGCCUACGCUCAUGUGAAGCUCCUUCGACGAGUCGAGUUGUUUGGGAAUGCAGCUCAAAAUGGGUGGUAAAUUUCAUCUAAAGCUAAAUAUUGGCCAGAGACCGAUAGCGCACAAGUAGAGUGAUCGAAAGAUGAAAAGCACUUUGGAAAGAGAGUUAAACAGUACGUGAAAUUGUUGAAAGGGAAGCGCUUGCAACCAGACUUGCGCGCGGCCGAUCAUCCGGUGUUCUCACCGGUGCACUCGGCCGUGCUCAGGCCAGCAUCGGUUUUGGCGGCUGGAUAAAGGCCCUAGGAAUGUGGCUCCUCUCGGGGAGUGUUAUAGCCUAGGGUGCAAUGCANCCUGCUGGGACCGAGGACCGCGCUUCGGCUAGGAUGCUGGCGUAAUGGUUGUAAGCGGCCCGUC
RNAcentral lists this ribosomal RNA (492 nucleotides) under soil fungal sp. DM2-260. RNAcentral describes it as "eukaryotic LSU rRNA". It matches the Rfam family "Eukaryotic large subunit ribosomal RNA", at positions 146 to 653 of the family's 3401-position model. The record is from RNAcentral. Lineage: Eukaryota; Fungi.